Molecule: ribosomal RNA, 1061 nt
Filed under: uncultured bacterium
Lineage: Bacteria
Description: bacterial SSU rRNA
Rfam family: Bacterial small subunit ribosomal RNA
Source: RNAcentral
AGAGUUUGAUUCUGGCUCAGAACGAACGCUGGCGGCAGGCCUAAGACAUGCAAGUCGUACGAGAAAGCCCUUUCGGGGGUGAGUAGAGUGGCGAACGGGUUAGUAACGCGUGGGAACAUACACAGCACAGGGGGAUAACCAUUGGAAACGAUGGCUAAUACCGCAUACGCCCUAUGGGGGAAAGAUUUAUCGGUGUUGGAUUGGCCCGCGUUAGAUUAGCUAGUUGGUGGGGUAAUGGCCUACCAAGGCGACGAUUUAUAGCUGGUUUGAGAGGAUGAUCAGCAACACUGGAACUGAGACACGGUCCAGACUCCUACGGGAGGCAGCAGCCGGGAAUAUUGUGCAAUGGGGGCAACCCUGACACAGCCAUGCCGCGUGAGUGAAGAAGGCCUUAGGGUUGUAAAGCUCUUUCAGAUGUGAGGAUGAUGACGAUAGCAUCACAAGAAGCUCCGGCUAACUUCGUGCCAGCAGCCGCGGUAAUACGAAGGGAGCAAGCGUUGUUCGGAAUUACUGGGCGUAAAGGGCGUGUAGGCGGAUUAUCAAGUUAGGGGUGAAAUCCCGGGGCUCAACCUCGGCACUGCCUUUAAGACUGAUAAUCUAGAGUAUGUGAGGGGAUAAUGGAAUACCUAGUGUAGAGGUGAAAUUCGUAGAUAUUAGGUGGAACACCAGUGGCGAAGGCGAUUAUCUGGCACAUUACUGACGCUGAGGCGCGAAAGCGUGGGGAGCAAACGGGAUUAGAUACCCCGGUAGUCCACGCCGUAAACGAUGUAUACUAGUUGUCGGGCAUUGGUUCGGUGACGCAGCUAACGCAUUAAGUAUACCGCCUGGGGAGUACGGUCGCAAGAUUAAAACUCAAAGAAAUUGACGGGGACCCGCACAAGCGGUGGAGCAUGUGGUUUAAUUCGAAGCAACGCGAAGAACCUUACCCACCUUUGACAUGGUAGUUUGGGGUAUUGGAGACAAUAUCUUUCAGUUCGGCUGGGCUACACACAGGUGCUGCAUGGCUGUCGUCAGCUCGUGUCGUGAGAUGUUGGGUUAAGUCCCGCAACGAGCGCAACCCU